GGGCUUGUAGAUCAGCUCGGAAGAUCGCCUCCUUGGCAUGGAGGAGGCCUCGGGUUCAAAUCCCGACAAGUCCA
This is a non-coding RNA of Thermoplasmatales archaeon SG8-52-1, 74 nucleotides long. Lineage: Archaea; Methanobacteriati; Thermoplasmatota; Thermoplasmata; Thermoplasmatales. The record is from Rfam.